GGAUGAGUCGAGCUCUAGCUCCUGGAUUCAGCGGCGGACGGGUGAGUAAUGCCUAGGAAUCUGCCUGGUAGUGGGGGAUAACGUCCGGAAACGGGCGCUAAUACCGCAUACGUCCUGAGGGAGAAAGUGGGGGAUCUUCGGACCUCACGCUAUCAGAUGAGCCUAGGUCGGAUUAGCUAGUUGGUGGGGUAAAGGCCUACCAAGGCGACGAUCCGUAACUGGUCUGAGAGGAUGAUCAGUCACACUGGAACUGAGACACGGUCCAGACUCCUACGGGAGGCAGCAGUGGGGAAUAUUGGACAAUGGGCGAAAGCCUGAUCCAGCCAUGCCGCGUGUGUGAAGAAGGUCUUCGGAUUGUAAAGCACUUUAAGUUGGGAGGAAGGGCAGUAAGUUAAUACCUUGCUGUUUUGACGUUACCAACAGAAUAAGCACCGGCUAACUUCGUGCCAGCAGCCGCGGUAAUACGAAGGGUGCAAGCGUUAAUCGGAAUUACUGGGCGUAAAGCGCGCGUAGGUGGUUCAGCAAGUUGGAUGUGAAAUCCCCGGGCUCAACCUGGGAACUGCAUCCAAAACUACUGAGCUAGAGUACGGUA
This 592-nucleotide ribosomal RNA is filed under the name uncultured Pseudomonas sp. Its description in RNAcentral is "bacterial SSU rRNA". It matches the Rfam family "Bacterial small subunit ribosomal RNA", at positions 68 to 653 of the family's 1533-position model. The record is from RNAcentral. Lineage: Bacteria; Pseudomonadati; Pseudomonadota; Gammaproteobacteria; Pseudomonadales; Pseudomonadaceae.